UAGCCUGGAAAUCAGACGAUUGCUGUCAACAGAAAUUCUCACUAUGUUUAAAGCUAUGAAAAGAACAUCUGAUUUUUUCUACACAUUUUAGACAAAAAAAUAUAUAGAAUGGUUGAGGUUGAGAGAGACCAAAGCCACCAAACCCAGAAGGAUAUCAAGUAGAAGUACAAAAGUCAGAAAAAGCAAGAAGCUGCAAAUCAUUUCCACCUCAGUGUGUCAGAGCCCACAGUCAUUUACUCCCUAAUGACAUCCCAGGACUUGGAAUAAAAGGGAUGGGAAUCAU
Molecule: long non-coding RNA, 283 nt
Organism: Empidonax traillii (willow flycatcher)
Lineage: Eukaryota; Metazoa; Chordata; Aves; Passeriformes; Tyrannidae
Exons: 3
Source: RefSeq, a predicted model, not a curated record